CCUAAUUUAUGACAUUAUGGUCUGUCCUCCCUCCUCGACUGUAAGCUCCAUGAGGUCAGAGACUUGGCAUUGUUCACUGCUGGGAAGAAAGAAGGAAGGGAAGGAGAACAACUUCCAGUAAAAGAAGACACUGAUGAUCAAAUGAUAUGUGUGAGCAGUUGCAGAUUUUUGCAAAAGGGAGGCUGCAUAAAUUCAAGCUGUUCCAGCCUUCUUCAGCAGAUGACUCAUCCCAAUGUCCAGAGGAAAAAGAGACCAGGGGUUUGAAACCAUAAAAUGAUAAAUCUCAUCACUCAUCCUUCUUCUCCUGGGUUUCAGAGAAAAUAGUGUUCAUCUUCUUGACCUAACCCAAUCCCUCUACAAGCUCUUUAAACUUUAUUAAUUUACAGUGAGAAAUAUUACUACAAAACACGCAGGAAUGCUCAUAUUAGCUCUUCAAUGGACUCUCUCCUUGAAAGACAGUAACAUGGUAAAUGCUAACUGAAGGUUUCCUUGUGGGAAAGGACCUACCUUUGCAGGGGUGUGAAUUGGAUGAUCUUAAUGGCCGGGGCAUGGAGUGUGACAGGGUGAAGAUCCAGGGCUGCUACAGGGGGUACAUCCACCAGGACCCCUUUCCUGAAAGAUUCCAGAUCUAGAGAAAUUUACUGG
This is a long non-coding RNA of Cynocephalus volans (Philippine flying lemur), 645 nucleotides long. RefSeq lists it as uncharacterized. Lineage: Eukaryota; Metazoa; Chordata; Mammalia; Dermoptera; Cynocephalidae. The transcript is spliced from 3 exons. The record is from RefSeq and is a predicted model, not a curated record.